This is a long non-coding RNA of Sapajus apella (tufted capuchin), 1388 nucleotides long. RefSeq lists it as uncharacterized. The record is from RefSeq and is a predicted model, not a curated record. Lineage: Eukaryota; Metazoa; Chordata; Mammalia; Primates; Cebidae. The transcript is spliced from 3 exons.
AAUAAACUAUUGAAGCUCUGAGUGGCUUCCUUAAGUUGGGACCCUGACUAUCUUAUGAAUUCUGUAAAUUUACCAAGCAUUGCCUUCAUCAAUUUUUUUCACUGAGUUCUACCUAAACUUUAAUCCAACCGAACAUUUCAUAGCAUAAACUAUUAUCUUUAUCAAAAUGUUCUCUCAAUGUCUCAUCACCUUCUAAUCAUUUUCCCUUCCUGCGCAUUCUCUGCCCAAAAUAAAUUGUUAGAUUUUUGUGUCAUAGCCAAAACAAUCAGGGUAAUGAGUAACUAUGUAUCACUCAUCAUGGGGCCUGCUAAGAGCUGCAGGAAGACUGAGCUCCUGAGUUUUUUAUUACAAGGGUGUUGUCUUCAUUAUUUCUGGAAUGUUUUCCCGUGAAAACAUUGAACAGUUAAGAAACAUUCUCAACUCUGCUGAUAAAUAGUUUUCCACUCUGUUUCUUCACUGUUCUAAAGAAGCAGAAGGUGCAGCCUUGUUUAAAUAAAAUGACAAGAUUGAUUAUGCAAGCAAAGCUUAUCUUCACUUUUACCUUCACAGAUACUCUGGUUUUAGCAAAGUAGAAUUUAAGAACAACCAUUUGGUAAAGGAAAGUAAUCCAGUAUUUAAGUAUAUAUAUUUUUAACCUUUUGUAAAAUCUGGAGCCUUUUGUUACACUCUAGAGUAGUCCUUCAAGACCUAUACAUAGAGAAGAUGAUUUUAAGAUGAGAAUAUCCCUUGUUACUGACUCGACCAUGCACAUGCAUUGGAAUAGGGUCAAUUGAGGAGACUGCAGAAAUGGGAAGGAACGUGACAGUUAACGACGUGUUAGGAAGAUUUGCCCACACGUUUAAUGGCUGAAACUAAUUCAUAAAUUUACUUUUUUAGGGAAGCUGAAAGUGUUGAUUGUGUCCUUAAAUAUAUACUCAAACACCGAGGCCAAAAGCACAGAUAGCUCAAAGGAUAGUUGACUUCAUGAAGUCAGCAAGCGUGAGACAAGAAACCAUCAGAAGAAAGACUGAUUUUAGUGAAACAAGAUUUUAAUAAGCUCUCAGCUAAACAGAAGCUGGCCAGCACCCAGAGAUUCUGCACAAUAAGGAAAGAUUCCAUCCCAUUGAUGAUUCGUUAAGAGAAGCAGUCUUCUUACAGAUUAUGGCAGGGAUUUUUUGCAUCAGAAGAUACUUGCUGUACAGAUGUUUGGAUUUGUUUUUUUGUUUUUCAUUAAAAUUUUUGGUCCUGGGGAAAAAAACUGACUUCUAGGCACUUCUUAGAGGUGCAAAAGUUUCUCUGUGGCCAUGAAGAUAAGAGAUGGUGGAAAUAUCAAUAAAGAGCUCUGAGGCCCGGGCGAGGUAGCUCACACCUGUAACCUCAGCACUUUGGGAGGCUGAGGCGGGUGGAUC